Hibiscus syriacus is the source of this 289-nucleotide long non-coding RNA. RefSeq lists it as uncharacterized. NCBI's taxonomy places the organism in Eukaryota, Viridiplantae, Streptophyta, Magnoliopsida, Malvales, Malvaceae. The record is from RefSeq and is a predicted model, not a curated record. The transcript is spliced from 3 exons.
GUAAAGAUGACUGCAUGGACGUUCUGGCCAGUUGUGGGGUGGAUAAAUCACCAAUAUGUGCCUUUGCAGUUCCGUGUCAUUUUCAGUAGCCUCGUUGCAUUUUGCUGGGGAAUAUUUCUGAACCUUCGAGCAAGAUCUAUGACACUGCCCAAGGCUGCACUGCCCAAGAGUAACUGAACGAUUUGAAACCUUCCACGUGCUUGGAUUGAUUAAAUACUAUCACGUUCACAUUCCAUAUCAUAAUCUCAUUUUAAUCUUUAUGUAGCUUGAACCUUGUUCUGUUCAACCA